RNAcentral lists this transfer RNA (76 nucleotides) under Campylobacterota bacterium. RNAcentral describes it as "Epsilonproteobacteria bacterium (hydrothermal vent metagenome) tRNA-Val". It matches the Rfam family "tRNA". From Rfam's summary of the family: Transfer RNA (tRNA) molecules are approximately 80 nucleotides in length. Their secondary structure includes four short double-helical elements and three loops (D, anti-codon, and T loops). Further hydrogen bonds mediate the characteristic L-shaped molecular structure. tRNAs have two regions of fundamental functional importance: the anti-codon, which is responsible for specific mRNA codon recognition, and the 3' end, to which the tRNAs corresponding amino acid is attached (by aminoacyl-tRNA synthetases). tRNAs cope with the degeneracy of the genetic code in two manners: having more than one tRNA (with a specific anti-codon) for a particular amino acid; and 'wobble' base-pairing, i.e. permitting non-standard base-pairing at the 3rd anti-codon position. The record is from RNAcentral. Lineage: Bacteria; Pseudomonadati; Campylobacterota.
GGUCGCAUAGCUCAGUUGGUAGAGCACUACCUUGACAUGGUAGCGGUCACAGGUUCAAGUCCUGUUGCGGCCACCA